CUGGCUCCCGCACUCCCCAGGCGCACCACAUUUCAGCACGACGGACAGCGCAGCACUGGGGCGCGACUGGGGAGGCGGGGACCAAUACCACGCUGUUUCAGCCCGGCUUUUUCAAAUCUCUCGGGUCUCCGCCCUCAUUUCCGUGCAUUUUCGAAACGACUGUCACAGCAACCGAAGCCACAAAAACACAUUCACAGAAAACGGGGAAGCUCCAGGGUUCGCUUACCGUCUGACAAGUCAAUCAGUCCGAGGCAAUUUCUCCAAAGGUUUAACCAGUCCCUAAUCUUCUGCUAGCUGAGUGUAACCAUCACUGGCAACAUCUCAUGGCAUAUUCUCUCGGCAGCUCAGAGAAAACGUGUGUCAGUGUAGACCAUUUGAAAGACAUACAGAAAGAGCCCCAUUGCUUUAGAUCGCAGAUAGAUGGAGAGAUGAAAGAUGCUUUUUCAAAGGGACAACAAUUUGUCUUCACUUCCCAGUGAAAAACCCAACAAGCUGGUCUGGAACAUAUGUGGUCCCUGCUUUGACACAGUGAAAUGUCCCUGGAAACUGUACCACCAGGAAAGCUAUGGAAAUCAGCAAGGCAGUUGCUAAACCUUUGUCAGCUUGAAAUCAGCCAUGGUAGGGUGUUGACACCACAGAAAUGCUACACAUCAGUGUUUCUUCACCCUCCCCACUGUCUCUGAAUUACCAGGAUGCCACGCUACCAUUCCAGAUCCCAUCUGCCCAGAAGAAAACCUGAGAAAUUCACCUGCCCAGAGGUUUUUCUGACUUACUGUGUUUCCUCUCCUCUGGGGCCCUAGCAAGUGUAAUAAUUAACCCACUGGGCUUAAUGGGAUUUUAGGCAUUCACAUAUCCAGAUAUGCGGAACUAAAUUAGAAGCAGGAAGACUUCCAUGUUUCUGGAAAGAAUGAUGCAAGAAGGCAGAGUAGUGGUUCCCACUGUCUGCUUUGCUGUUACUGUGUAAAGACUUACAUUCUUCCAAGAAUUCUGACUUCACAGACAGCUCCCCUUCUGGAUUGUCUCCUAACCUUGAACUUUAGGAGCAACUGUGUCUCAGGUCCAUUUGCCUUAAAGAAACAAAGGUUUGAUUAUUUGUGAAAAGGUUUCUCUAGGGCUUGCUGCUGCCAUGGGGGCUUUCUGAGUGGUUCUCCUGGUAAGGUACUGUCUAAACCUCAUUUGGAAAAACUAAUUUGAUAGGGGCCUCAUUUUCCAGAAUGUUCUGCUGCAGUCGGUAUUAAAAUAAUGCCAAUAAUUGCA
Molecule: long non-coding RNA, 1257 nt
Organism: Homo sapiens (human)
Lineage: Eukaryota; Metazoa; Chordata; Mammalia; Primates; Hominidae
Gene: KCNIP1-AS1
Product: KCNIP1 antisense RNA 1
Source: Ensembl